UCCCUGGUGGUCCAGUGAUUAGAACUUGGCACUUUCACUGCUGUGGCCCAGGUUCAAUCCUGGUCUGGGAA
Transfer RNA from Sus scrofa (pig), 71 nucleotides. It matches the Rfam family "tRNA". From Rfam's summary of the family: Transfer RNA (tRNA) molecules are approximately 80 nucleotides in length. Their secondary structure includes four short double-helical elements and three loops (D, anti-codon, and T loops). The record is from Rfam. Lineage: Eukaryota; Metazoa; Chordata; Mammalia; Artiodactyla; Suidae.